GGUCCCGUAGCUCAGUUGGUCAGAGCGUGGCUCUUAUGAGCUGAAGGUCGCGGGUUCGAAUCUCGCCGGGACCA
Molecule: non-coding RNA, 74 nt
Organism: Jatropha curcas
Lineage: Eukaryota; Viridiplantae; Streptophyta; Magnoliopsida; Malpighiales; Euphorbiaceae
Source: Rfam